UUAUGCUGAGAAAUAUAAAAAUGCUACAUGUAACAGUCUUAAAGAUUUAGCUGAGUUACAUACAAGAAACAUUUAAAUGACUGGAUUUGACAUAACUGAGAAUAGCAAAAUACAUUUAGUCAAGUCUGGGGCAUCCCAGCUCAGUGGGUGAUGUUUUUAGUGGGUAUACAGUGGGUAACUGGAACAUGAGGUACAUGCCUGCAACAAGGGGCUUGUGGAUUUGAACGCGAAUUAUUACAGAGAAAUUGACAAUCAAUACUCUGGCAUCAGCUCUGGUGUACAUUUCCACAGUCAAAAUGCCAAAUGCUCCCAAUUGAAAAGCUAACCAAGAAAAACCUUCAUGGCAAAAGGAGCUGGAACAGUAACGGAAAAGGCAGAGAUGAAUUACUUACAGCUCACAAUCCAUUUCAGCAUGAGUACAGGUGCCUGAUGUUUCAGUAUGAGAACAGGUGCCUGAUGUUUCAGCAUGAGAACAGGUGCCUGAUGUUUCAGCAUGAGAACAGGUGCCUGAUGUUUCAACAUGAGAACAGGUGCCUGAUGUUUCAGCAUGAGAACAGUUGCCUGAUGUUUCAACAUGAGAACAGGUGCCUGAUGUUUCAACAUGAGAACAGGUGCCUGAUGUUUCAGCAUAAGAACAUGUGCCUGAUAUUUCAACAUGAAUACAGGUGCCUGAUGUUUCAGCACUGAGCACAGGUGCCUGAUGUUUCAGCAUAAGAACAUGUGCCUGAUAUUUCAACAUGAAUACAGGUGCCUGAUGUUUCAGCACUGAGCACAGGUGCCUGAUGUUUCAGCAUAAGAACAGGUGCCUGAUGUUUCAGCAUAAAAACAUGUGCCUGAUAUUUCAACAUGAAUACAGGUGCCUGAUGUUUCAGCACUGAGCACAGGUGCCUGAUGUUUCAGCAUAAGAACAUGUGCCUGAUAUUUCAACAUGAAUACAGGUGCCUGAUGUUUCAACAUGAGCACAAGUGCCUGAUGUUUCAGCAUAAGAACAUGUGCCUGAUGUUUCAGCACUGAGCUGGCAUCUCCUUCAGAGUAACCUGACCGUUGCACGGUACUCCUAUUUAAAAUUUAGAGGACUAUUCAGACACAAUUUUGUUUUACAUUGGAAAAGUUAGAUGAUUUUUUCCCAGUUGAUAUGGUCAGUUUUUAUCUUCAUGUGGGAAGAUGAUAUUUGAUAAACAAUUUUACAUUUCAGCUAAUGUAUUAUAUGACCAACUAGUGAUGUUGACCGGAGGUAUUGGCACUUUCUCAAAUAACUUUGUCUUUAAAAGUAAGUUUAAGUGGACCGAAGUAUUUAAUCUCCACAAUUCUUAUUUCACUGCUAAUAUUACAGAAACUUUGUUUAUAUUGUUUUAUAUCAAAAAAUAAACUUGAAUGGCACAGACAAAAUUGAAAUGCUAAGCUCAGUGUGUUGUAGCACUGCUUUUUGCAAACAAACAGUUUG
Esox lucius (northern pike) is the source of this 1444-nucleotide long non-coding RNA. NCBI's taxonomy places the organism in Eukaryota, Metazoa, Chordata, Actinopteri, Esociformes, Esocidae. The record is from Ensembl.